RNAcentral lists this ribosomal RNA (258 nucleotides) under uncultured bacterium. RNAcentral's name for it is "partial 16S ribosomal RNA". It matches the Rfam family "Bacterial small subunit ribosomal RNA", at positions 103 to 354 of the family's 1533-position model. The record is from RNAcentral.
CGGGUGAGUAACACGUGAGUGACCUGCCUUUUAGACUGGAACAACUUACCGAAAGGUGAGCUAAUGCCGGAUGAGUUAUAUAAGUGCAUGUUUAUAUAGGAAAAGCUGGGGAGACCUGACGCUGAAAGAUGGACUCGCGUCCCAUUAGCUAGUUGGUAGGGUAAUGGCCUACCAAGGCGACGAUGGGUAGCCGGCCUGAGAGGGUGGCCGGCCACACUGGGACUGAGACACGGCCCAGACUCCUACGGGAGGCAGCAG